GGAUCAGGUAGGAAUACCCGCUGAACUUAAGCAUAUCAAUAAGCGGAAGGA
RNAcentral lists this ribosomal RNA (51 nucleotides) under Trypethelium eluteriae. RNAcentral's name for it is "partial 28S rRNA". Lineage: Eukaryota; Fungi; Ascomycota; Dothideomycetes; Trypetheliales; Trypetheliaceae. The record is from RNAcentral.